GCCGAGCGGUACGGAAGAGGGUGCGCCGCGUCCGCUGCGCGCGGUCCUUCCCGGAGUUGUCGUCGGGGCCCUGAUCCUCGCGGGAUUCGGCGCC
Molecule: transfer RNA, 94 nt
Filed under: Streptomyces hygroscopicus subsp. hygroscopicus
Lineage: Bacteria; Bacillati; Actinomycetota; Actinomycetes; Kitasatosporales; Streptomycetaceae
Description: tRNA-Ser
Source: RNAcentral